AGCAGCCGCGGUAAUUCCAGCUCCAAUAGCGUACAUUAAAGUUGUUGCAGUUAAAAAGCUCGUAGUUGAAUUUCGGGAUCAGUACGCUGGUCGUGCCUUGUGUAUGUACUGGUGUUACUGGUUCCUACCUUCUGACGAACCGUCAUGUCAUUAAUUUGGUGUGGCGGGGAAUCAGGACUGUUACUUUGAAAAAUUAGAGUGUUUAAAGCAGGCUCGCGCUUGAAUACAUUAGCAUGGAAUAAUGAAAUAGGACGUUUGAUCCUAUUUUGUUGGUUUCUAGGAUUGACGUAAUGAUUAAUAGGGAUAGUUGGGGCAUUAGUAUUCAAUUGUCAGAGGUGAAAUUCUUGGAUUUAUUGAAGACUAACUACUGCGAAAGCAUUUGCCAAGGAUGUUUUCAUUA
Molecule: ribosomal RNA, 400 nt
Filed under: uncultured Glomeromycotina
Lineage: Eukaryota; Fungi; Glomeromycota
Description: SSU rRNA
Rfam family: Eukaryotic small subunit ribosomal RNA
Source: RNAcentral